GAUGAACGCUGGCGGCGUGCCUAAUACAUGCAAGUCGAGCGAACGGACGAGAAGCUUGCUUCUCUGAUGUUAGCGGCGGACGGGUGAGUAACACGUGUAUAACCUACCUAUAAGACUGGGAUAACUUCGGGAAACCGGAGCUAAUACCGGAUAAUAUUUUGAACCGCAUGGUUCAAAAGUGAAAUACGGUCGUGCUGUCACGUAUAGAUGCAUACGCGCUGCAUGAGCUAGUUGGUGAGGUACCGGCGUACCAAGGCAACGUUGCAUAGCCGACCGGAUAGGACGGUCAGCCACACUGGGACUGAGACCGGGUACAGAGUGCCACAGGAGGCAGCCGUAGGGAAUCGUGCGCCAGGGGUGGAGGACUGACGGAGCAGGACCGCGUGCGGGAUGAAGGUCGUCGGGUGGUAAAACUCUGUCAUUAGGGAGGAACAUAUGUGUAAGUAUCUGGGAGCAUCAUUACGGUAACUAAUCAGAAAGGCACCGCUUACUUAGUG
RNAcentral lists this ribosomal RNA (497 nucleotides) under uncultured bacterium. Its description in RNAcentral is "partial 16S ribosomal RNA". It matches the Rfam family "Bacterial small subunit ribosomal RNA", at positions 28 to 507 of the family's 1533-position model. The record is from RNAcentral.